AGAGUUUGAUCAUGGGCUCAGGACGAACGCUGGCGGCGUGCCUAAUACAUGCAAGUCGAGCGGAGAUAAAGGAGCUUGCUCCUUUAUUUUAGCGGCGGACGGGUGAGUAACACGUGGGCAACCUGCCCUGCAGAUUGGGAUAACUCCGGGAAACCGGGGCUAAUACCGAAUAACAUGGGAAACCACAUGGUUUCCUUUUGAAAGGCGGCUUCGGCUGUCACUGCAGGAUGGGCCCGCGGCGCAUUAGCUAGUUGGUGAGGUAACGGCUCACCAAGGCAACGAUGCGUAGCCGACCUGAGAGGGUGAUCGGCCACACUGGGACUGAGACACGGCCCAGACUCCUACGGGAGGCAGCAGUAGGGAAUCUUCCGCAAUGGACGAAAGUCUGACGGAGCAACGCCGCGUGAGUGAAGAAGGUUUUCGGAUCGUAAAACUCUGUUGUCAGGGAAGAACAAGUACCGGAGUAACUGCCGGUGCCUUGACGGUACCUGGCCAGAAAGCCACGGCUAACUACGUGCCAGCAGCCGCGGUAAUACGUAGGUGGCAAGCGUUGUCCGGAAUUAUUGGGCGUAAAGCGCGCGCAGGCGGUCUUUUAAGUCUGAUGUGAAAGCCCACGGCUCACCGGGGAAGGUCAUUGGAAACUGGAAAACUUG
Molecule: ribosomal RNA, 653 nt
Filed under: uncultured Bacillota bacterium
Lineage: Bacteria; Bacillati; Bacillota
Description: bacterial SSU rRNA
Rfam family: Bacterial small subunit ribosomal RNA
Source: RNAcentral